AUACGGAGGGUGCGAGCGUUAAUCGGAAUUACUGGGCGUAAAGCGUGCGUAGGCGGUUUGCUAAGUCAGAUGUGGAAGCCCCGGGCUUAACCUGGGAACUGCAUUUGAUACUGGCAGACUAGAGUAUGAUAGAGGGGGGUAGAAUUCCUGGUGUAGCGGUGAAAUGCGUAGAUAUCAGGAGGAAUACCAGUGGCGAAGGCGGCCCCCUGGAUCAAUACUGACGCUGAGGUACGAAAGCGUGGGGAGCGAACAGGAUUAGAAACCCUAGUAGUCC
RNAcentral lists this ribosomal RNA (274 nucleotides) under uncultured bacterium. Its description in RNAcentral is "partial 16S ribosomal RNA". It matches the Rfam family "Bacterial small subunit ribosomal RNA", at positions 523 to 796 of the family's 1533-position model. The record is from RNAcentral.